CCUACGGGAGGCUGCAGUGGGGAAUAUUGGGCAAUGGGCGCAAGCCUGACCCAACAACGCCGCGUGAAUGAAGAAGGCUUUCGGGUUGUAAACUUCUUUUGUCAGGGACAAAGCAAUUGCCUGUACCUGACGAAUAAGCCACGGCUAACUACGUACCACCAGCCGCGGUAAUACGUGGGUGGCAAGCGUUAUCCGGAUGUACUGGGUGUAAAGGGCGUGUAGGCGGGACUGCAAGUCAGAUGUGAAAACCACGGGCUCAACCUGUGAACUGCAUUUGAAACUGUAGUUCUUGAGUACUGGAGAGGGAGACGGAAUUCCUAGUGUAGCGGUGAAAUGCGUAGAGAUUAGGAGGAACACCAGUGGCGAAGGCGGUCUGCUGGACAGCAACUGACGCUGAGGCGCGAAAGCGUGGGGAGCAAACAGGAUGAGAUACCCUUGUAGUC
This 443-nucleotide ribosomal RNA is filed under the name uncultured bacterium. Its description in RNAcentral is "partial 16S ribosomal RNA". It matches the Rfam family "Bacterial small subunit ribosomal RNA", at positions 338 to 795 of the family's 1533-position model. The record is from RNAcentral.